UUAACUCAAAUUUGUAUGGAUUUGGAAAAACUCUACUACGUUUGCCGCUAGGAGCGCUGUUUUAACUCCAUACAAAUUUGAGUUA
RNAcentral lists this microRNA precursor (85 nucleotides) under Bombyx mori (domestic silkworm). RNAcentral describes it as "mir-2807 microRNA precursor family". It matches the Rfam family "mir-2807 microRNA precursor family". Lineage: Eukaryota; Metazoa; Arthropoda; Insecta; Lepidoptera; Bombycidae. The record is from Rfam by way of RNAcentral.